AUUGAACGCUGGCGGCAGGCCUAACACAUGCAAGUCGAACGGUAACAGGAAGAAGCUUGCUUCUUUGCGGACGAGUGGCGGACGGGUGAGUAAUGUCUGGGAAACUGCCUGAUGGAGGGGGAUAACUACUGGAAACGGUAGCUAAUACCGCAUAACGUCGCAAGAGCAAAGAGGGGGAGCUUCGGGCCUCUUGCCAUCGGAUGUGCCCAGAUGGGAUUAGCUAGUAGGUGGGGUAACGGCUCACCUAGGCGACGAGCCCUAGCUGGACUGAGAGGAUGACCAGCCACACUGGAACUGAGGCACGGUCCAGACUCCUACGGGAGGCAGCAGUGGGGAAUAUUGCACAAUGGGCGCAAGCCUGAUGCAGCCAUGCCGCGUGUAUGAAGAAGGCCUUCGGGUUGUAAAGUACUUUCAGCGGGGAGGAAGGGAGUAAAGUUAAUACCUUUGCUCAUUGACGUUACCCGCAGAAGAAGCACCGGCUAACUCCGUG
This 490-nucleotide ribosomal RNA is filed under the name uncultured bacterium. RNAcentral describes it as "partial 16S ribosomal RNA". It matches the Rfam family "Bacterial small subunit ribosomal RNA", at positions 30 to 507 of the family's 1533-position model. The record is from RNAcentral.